UACACUAUCAAAGAGGAAGAGGUACAAACAAAGAGGAAGAGGUACAAACGAAAAUGAAGAAUCGUGUUACAACAUCCCUGAAUGAUAAUUAACUAAGAAAAUCACCCUAACAAAAUUACAGAAACACCACAUCACAUAUAGUUUAAUGAGUUUAACUUAUAUACGUUGACAGUAUAAAUAAUUUAGUAAAUAGUGUACAAAUUUUUUACAUUGUCGAUGUAUAUAAGUUAAACUCUUAAAUACAUUUGAAUCAAAUUAAGUACUUUUACUGAAUAUGAGCAUACACCAGAGAUUAAAGCUGGUUAAUUAUAUAACCGGACUACUCAGAAGUGGAAUCAGAGGGGUUAAUCUUUUUCUUGUCGUUCUUGAAAGAGGACACCACAGCUUUCACCACCUUUUCAGCAGCCAUGGCUUUUACUGAUUUCUUGUCUUUCUUAGGAAACACACUUCCUUUCUUUGAUGUGCCUUCACCAUAUCCUUUUCCAUUUCCAUUUUUCUCCAUCUCUCUUUCUAGCUCUCAGAGUUUAUGUAUUUAUAUGAGGAAGUGUAAUCUAUUUCUUUAAUUUGUUGCUUAAGUUGUGAUGCUUUGAAGAGUAUAUUGAGUGCGGUAUUUAUAAGAGUAGAGGCUUCGUUUAUGGUCUUCUUCUGAAUAUUUUCAUGUAAUUUCUGGUUGAAUUUCUGAGUUAGCUCAUGUAAGAUUGAAUGAAGAUUGUUGUUUAUUUCUUGGAUGGAAUAUACAUGUGUGUGUGGGUUUUUGGUUUGAAGUCUUGUGUUACAAAAAAUAGUUCGUAUGGAUGAGCCAGGAAACUUUUAAUUGUUUAAGCUAAAUUAUGCUGUUAUUUCCCUUGCAUUGGUGAAUAUUUCAUCCUUUCUUAUUCUAUAUAUGUUUACUUGUUUGAGAGGGAAACUCAGAUUUUCUUACUCGGUUCUUCUUCUUCUUCUUUGUUAUUUCUCCUCACUUCUCCUCUGAAUUUUAAUCUCCAUUUGUGUGUGUGUGUGUGUUAUCGUCUAUGUGUGUGCAUGCAUGCGUGGUUAAACCAGUAUAGAGUACUUAAUAAUUGUGCUGAAUCUGUAUGCAAUUCUAAGGAAACAUUAUAACACUACAAAAAAACGGGUAAACUGAGUAGGUUAGAAACCUCCGCUAUUUGCAGUCACGGCGGUUGAGCAGACCCCGUAGUAAGCAUCGCCACUAUUAAUUUGCGGCAGAUAAAUGUGGGGUUUCCUGAAUCACCGUGACAGCAAAUAGCGCAAAUUACAAUUUUAACCUCCGCAAUCUUAUGCGCGAAAAUAGAUUUUUAUUUUUUAAAUUUAAUUUUUUUUUGAGUGUAGGAAUUGUAAACCCCCGCAAUUUCUUAUGCGUACACCAUCAGAAUUUGUUCUUAUUUCUUUUUGGGGGUUUUAACCCAAUCUAUUUUUAAAUAUAUUAUAUAGUUGAUAUUUUAUCAUCAAUAUGCCAUUCUUUUUCCCUAAUAUAAAUUGAAAUAUUAAUGCUCAAACCAAAACAUUAAAAUUAAGAAACAUCAACAUUUCAAUAAUCAUGAAAAAUACUAUGACAGAGUAGUAUCAUAUGUCAUCAAGCUAAAUUAUAACAUAGUUAAUCAUCCAUAUUAGUCAGCUAUUACAUUGUCCUAAUAUAUCCACUUCAAUUAAAAUGAAUCUCAAUGGAUGUCACUGAGAUUACUAGCGCGAGAAGAUCUUCUUGCAUCCGUGGGUGAAACGGGUCCACUAAAUGCAUCACUUGACUGCAACAAAAAGUAAAACAAGAAAUUAAGGGGUUGGUUUACAAACAUUUUUGGCAAUUACAUUCAGCAUGCAAGCUCCCUUGAUCAUAAUAAAAACAAGAUACCAAAAAAAUAUUUUAAGAAAAUUUCAUUAUCUUAUACACCUCCAUGUAUAGACAUCUCUAAAACAUCAUCCGUAUAUAGCAACUAUUCUUUAUAAAAACCAAGUUUUUGUCGGAACCUAUUUUUUAUGUUAUGUUUUACCUCUCUAUAAUAAUUUUUUACUUAUAAAAGCAAUAUCCAUCAUUAUAGCAAUACGCUCUUUGUAAAGUUAUCCCUCUAUAACAUCCUUGUAGAAUUUCUAAUAAGAGCACCAAUAAUAAGUUUACAAAUUUUGACUUCAACCUACUACUACUUGGAUCGAGAUAGAUGUUAACCUUUUAGAUUGCCUUCACGGGUAAGCUAUCAACUAGUCUUUUGCUGAACGUUUGGACACAAAUCUUCGCUAAUUCAAGCGUUAUAUCGCUAGUAACAGACUGGAAUCUACAGAACAAUUACAGAGUUUUUUCAUCAAUCUUGAAAUAAUUUAGUCUUCUAGUAGCUUUAAAAUAUGUGCUUUAGAAUUUAAAAUCAUUAUACAUUUGCUACGGAUUUAAUAAUGAUGUGUUAGCUUUCUUUUACAUUUAAUUUGUGAAAUUUACAUAUCUUUUGAGUAUUUAAAUUUUAAAAAAAUUCUACUUUUUUAUAUGUAACACAAAAUAUAAAAAAAAUUGGAUAAUUUUACGUGUGUAGGUGUGUUGAUGAGCAAGUUAUUUGCCUUGAAGCAAAUAUUUUCCAGAAAACCGUGUGAGUAUCUUUUAUCAAUCUUACGUGGGGAAGCUCUUUAAAGCAUGUGGAACUCCAGGGAUUAUUUAGAUAAUUUUGGAGAGCUAAUUACGAAGGGGUGAAUAUUUGUUGUCAAUGUAUGUAUAUACAACAAAAAUGAAGUGCACUAUCGAUAUUUCUCUACGGAGGUAGUGACAUAUAUAGUUAAGUUAUUUAAUAAUGUGAGUAUAUAUAUUAAUUAACUAUAGUUAAGUGAGAAUAGUCUACGUGCAAAAUUGUUACGCGGCGCCUUCCUGAAAUAUCUUGGAAGGGCGACGUAAGGCUAAGCAACCGAUGUCCGUGCAGUUAAUGUCCGCCUAUUGGGGUCCCCUCCGUAUACUAGACGAGACUGUCAGUGCCAUACGGAAAGACCAGUGUCAAGAGCAAUUGAGAGAACAGAAAAGAGAAUGAGAAUAAAAGAAUGCUUGAUUGCGUUAACAAAAGCUACUACAGAAAAGCAACACAGUGUCGAGGGAGAGAGACACCAGUAUAGAGAAUUGUUUGCUUGCUUGAAAGUUUGAUUGCUUGAUCCCCCUAAUAAUGCUUUAAAAAAACCAAAGUUACAGGACUUGACCUAACAAAGCUAGAGAGACAUAAUAGAAAUACAGAAAGUAAAACUAUUCUAUAUUUACACUGAAAAGGGCUUAGAUUCAUACAAGGUAGAAGCAGGUCCGUUGGCAGCAACCUUGUCUUUAGCAUAAGAGUCUGCGCGCGCGGCGCUGUUGGCAUCUGCCUGUGGCUGGGCGCUGGCGAGGGCUAUCGAUGUGGCGACAUAGGCACAUGCGCGCUUGUCACUUGGCGUGGCCAAGACCACGGGGCCGUACAUGGCGCUAGACAUUGGGAGGCUUGCGAGGAUGCUAUGGGGCGCAUCCAAAGAGUCAUGGGACAUGGCUGGAAAGCCGCACAUGACAUUCUCCUCCACCUGAGUUGGAGACGUACUCGGCGCCUUACUUGCAAGAUAAUCAUCGAUCACGCUCUUGUAGGCUUUGAGGUUUUUUCCCCGCUACCAUGUAUUCUCCUCUUUAUCACAGCCCUGCCAUUUCACCAAGAACUCUUGGUGAUCUUUUAUUGAAGCAUGAACCACUCGAUCAUCGAGAAUAGCUUCAACACGCCUUUUACCGGUUGAAUUAGGGCCUCGAAUACUGGGUAUUGUGAGUUGGCUCCGUGAAGGAUCCUCGAUGUCUUUCCGAAAAGUUUUCUGAAGGCUGACAUGGAUGACUGGAUGAAUCUUCCACCAGGCUGGGGUAUUGCAACUUUCCCAAUGCGCUUCUCAAUGGACAAAGCUCCAAUGUACUUUUGCAAAGGCGAGGGUUAUGGACUUUGCAAACAAGUAUCUUUUUGUAAUUUUUACCAUCACUUUGUCUCCUACUUGGUAUUUAAUAAAGCGACGAUUUUGAUCAGCAUGCUUUUUCAUAUGCUUUUUGGCUUUGACAAGACAGCUCCGCACUAUCUCCAAAUUUUGCUUCCAUUCUUUGAGAAGCUAGCAGCUCGAGGAGAUUUUGGCAUGUUUGGAGCAUUCACAGUGUGUGGGAGUAGCAGUUUUUGUCCCGUAACAAUUUCAAAAGCGUUUUUGUUUAUACUAGAGCUCUUUUGUUAAUUGAAACACAGUUGAGUAGCAUCCAUAACCUUCACUCAAUUCUUUUGUGAUCCGGUAACAAAAUGGCGGAGGUAUUCCUCUAGCAUGCUAUUGAACCUCUCCGUCUGGCCAUCGGAUUGCAGAUGGAAUGAAAUGCUUUCCCAAGGUCACUUUGGAACAGGAAAUGGCUCCAAAAGUCCCUCUUGUGUCAAGCAGUCUGACUUGUCUUUCUGGCAUAUUAGGUAAGUCUUCACAUACUACACAACAUCAUCAACUAUUUGAGGCCAAUAAUAAGCUCAGUGUAAAAAUGCCAUGGUGCGUUCUUCACCUGGGUGGCCGGCCCACAAAGUAUCAUGGCAUUCCAUCAGAAGAGUCCUUGGCAGAUCUCCUCCUUUAGGAACAUAAAGUCGGUUCCCUUUCACCUUCAGGAACCUAUCUUCCAUGUAGAACUGGCGAGUCUUACCUUGUCCUACAAAAUUGACCAAAUACUGUGCAACAAGAUCCUUGGUGAUUAGAUCCUGUAUCUAGUCUUUUAUAGUGGUGGCCACUUCGCUCCCCCUUAGGGUUUCGAGUAGGCACAUCGAUGCUAAGUCAGCCCUCCGACUGAGCGCAUCAUUAACUUGGUUAAUCUUCCUACUUCGGUACUCCAGGUUGAAGCUAAAUUGAGCUAGGAGUUCCUGCCACCUGACUUGUCGGCCAUUCAGCUUUGGCUGGGUCAUGAAAUGGCUAACGGCUGUGUUGUGUGUCUUGAUCACGAACGGGAUUCCCAGUAGAUAGUGCCUCCAAAGGCGUAAGCAGUGGAUGACAGACAAUAAUCUUUUUCAUGGGCGGCAUAGCGUCGUUCUGCAUCCUUCAACUUCCGGCUCUCGUACGCCAUUGGAUGCUCCUCUUGUAGCAAGACUCCACCCAGAGCAUAGUCAGAGACAUUUGUUUGUACUUCGAACGGCUUGGCCAACUUAGGAAGGGCCAAGACGGGGCUACUAGAUAUAGCCAUUUUCAAUGCGUUAAAGGCCUCUGCUCGCCUGGGACCCCAAUCCCAGGGCAUGAAUUUCUUUAGGAGUUCUGUCAACGGAACUGCAGUGAGAGAGAAAUUUUACACAAAUCAUUGAUAAAAGUUUCAUAUGCCAAGGAACGCCCUCAAGGCGUGGAUAUCCUUAGGCGGCGGCCAAUCUAUGACAGCCUGAAUCUUAUGUUAGUCCAUCUUGAUCCACCCUUCCUCGAUGAAAUAUUCGAGGAAGUCAAUCUAUUUUUGGGCGAAGGAGCACUUGGAUAGCUUCACAUAUAAUUUGUGCUCCCACAGUCGGGCUAGGACCUUCCGCAGGUACUCCAGGUUGUCCUUCAGUUUUUUGCUAUAUACUACAAUGCCGUCCAAGUAGACCACUAUGGAUUCGUCAAUAUACUCUCGAAAGACUUGGUUCAUCAGGGUGAAAAAUGUGGCUAGAUCAUUAGUCAAGCCGAAUGGCAUGACCAGGAAGUCGUACGACCUAUAUCUUGUCACACAGGUCCUCUUGUGUUCAUCUCCCUCAGCAAUCUAAACUUGCGAGUAACCUGUCUUCAGGUCUAUUUUCGUGAACAUUAUAGAACCACUCAAUCUAUCAAACAAGUCUGCCAUUAGCGGGAUAGGGUACUUUUUAUUCAUGGUGAUUUUAUUUAGGGCCCGAUAAUCCCCACAAGUCAUAGGGUGCCAUCUUGUUUCUUUUGGAAUAGCACAGGGGACCCAUAAGGGGACUUGGAGGGCACAAUGAUCCCCGUAUCCAGCAUUUUCGUCAACUGUCUCCAAAGCUCCGUGAGUUCGGGUUGUGACAUCCUAUAAGGCACCCGGGCGGGUUGCUUCGCACCAGGCACCAACUCAAUCUCAUGGUCCACGGUGUGCCUAGGUGGGAGUCGCUUUGGCAUGUCCUGUGGCAAGACAUCUUAAAACUCCUUUAGCAGCUCCUUAACGGGUACAAGAAGGGACCCGAAGAUCGUUCAAUAUCUUCAAUACAGAGGGUAUCCAGGAACAUAGGUUCAUGUCUUUUGACUCCCUUCUUCAACUACAAGGCCAAGAUGUUCUCUGCGGCCAUCUUUAUGGUUUGUGCAUGGAUAAUGCAGGGCUGGGCCCCGUUUGCUCUCAUUAUCAACAGUUUGUCUGCAUAAGGUACAGGAAUGGUGUUGGUUUGCCUCAUGAAUGCCAAUCCAACUAUCAGCUCAGAGUCAUUUGUGAUCACCACACGCAAGUUGAAUUUUCCUUCAUAAAGACCAAGCUUCACCACCACUCUUUUGGCUAUUCCACCCAUUAGCUUAGGCAGUGAGUAGAUAGCUUUGAUACAACCUCUGCCCGUCCUCACAACUAGAAGAAGGCGCUCUACCUGAGUUGAGGCUAAGUAGUUCUGAGUAGCGCCCGUGUCUAUCAUCGCCCGAAUGGGCUUGCCAUUAACUUUCAUCUCGACGAACAUCAAGGUCUUCUCCGGGGUUAAGAGGAGGCCCCUCAACCGCCUUCUAUUUCCCUUUCUUGGUGCUUGGGCAUGUGUCGUGACCCAAAUCCGUAAUAGGUCGAGACUGCACCUAACGCUGCCGUUAGGCAAGCCCACAAGUGAAACUACUAUUUAUUUACCCCUUUUUUAACAUAUUUUAAUAUAGAAAUUCUUUCUUUUUAGAGAAUAGUUUAACUAGCUUUCAUGCAACUGUAAUAAGUCUUUUUAAAAAACAAUGCCAACAUAAUAAGUACAUACUCUGCGAUGAUAAAAAUAACAAGUAUACCAGUACAUAAAUCCUACAAAUCUCCAAAACCCGGCGUCACAAGUACAUGAGCAAUCUAGAGAAUAUACAAAACUACUAAAACUAUUGUCUGAAAGUAAUAGACAGGAAUAGUAAAUAAGGUGGAAGGAAACUACGGUGCUAUGGAUCAUAGCAAGGCAAGCAGCUCAUCACUAAAUCUCGGUAGAUGAUCGACUACACACUCGCAUGGCCACUGGUGGAACCUCUCUCAGUGCCUGCACAUCAGUGCAGAAGUGUAGCGUGAGUACAGAAAACAAUGUGUACCCAGUGUAUCUAGUCUAACCUUGAAGAAGUAGUGACGAGAUGUCGACAUGACACUUACUAGAGGUCAAUAAUAAUAAUAUAAAUGCUUAAAGUAGACAUGGUGAGCAUACAACAGGUAUCAAUGAGACAAAUAAAAGCAACUACAAUAAAUACAACAAGAGUCUGUAACACACCACCAACAUCUUGUAACUGGCCGUGACGGUCCUAACUCAAUUAUAUCCAAACUGGAACUCGUUUCGAUUAUUAAGCACAAAGUUGCCGAGGCGAGCGGACCGAUCCCAUAAGAAUAGUGAUAAUCAGUACUGCUGAGGCGAAUGGCCUGAUCCCAUAAGAUUAGUGUUACCAUCAUACUACCGAGGCGAAUGGCCCGAUCCCAUAAGAGUGUUGUUAUCGUACUUUCGAGGCGAAUGGCCUGAUCCCAUAAGAGUGGUGUUAUCAAACUGCCGAGGCAAACGGCCCGAUCCCAUUAGAGUAGAGAAGUUUACCUCGCUCACGGAAGUACUUACGAGACGAGAAGUCAUGGAUUUGUUUAUAGUUAUUAAGUAUUCCUCAAUUUUCCGAAAUAAGAAGGCUAAGUUGAUAAUUGCGACUUUAAAUCCCUAGUCUCAGCUUUAUUCAAGAGAGUUAAUACGCAUGAUAAACACAACAGUACAAUUAAAAGCAUGAUUUGGAUCUAAAUCUACCCAGACAUAUCAUGGAAUAUAGAUACGCACGCACUCUCAUCACCUCGUGCGUACGCAACUCCCCACAUAACUAAUACACAACAAAGAUACACUUAAGGGGAUGAGUUCCCUCUUACAAGAUUAGGCAAGAGACUUACCUCGUUCCUAAGCUCAGUUCCGGUCCACUAAUCCGCUCUAAAAGCCCAGGGUCGAUGCCGAACAAUCCGAAAUUAGUCAACUAUUAUAUAAUUUAAUCAAUAUAUAACAAAAGUUCAUAAUUUAGCUAUUAGAUUAAUUACCCAACCCAAAUUGAAAGAUUCCUAAAAUUUACCCCCGGGCCCACGUGCCCGGAUUCCGGAAAAAAUUGAAUAUAAUUGUUACCCCUUGCCUCACGAACUCAAAUAUUUAAUUUUUACUUAAUUCCAUAACUAUUUUCGUGGUCAAAUCCCAUUUUUAUUAAAACCUAAGUUUUUCAACUAAACCCAUAAUUUCUAUAUUUGCAUGUUAAGAAUCUACCCAUAAUCCGCGUAUUAAACUCACAUUAAGUAGUAAUUACUUACCUCAUGGUGAUGGGUGAAAACUCCCUCUCCAAGAGCUCCACAAUCGACCACCCCAAGUGAAAAUGAGAGAAAAAGAACCUAAGUCUGAUUUAAAUGCACCCUCAUUGCCCCCAGUGAUUUCGCACCUGCGGAAGCAUCGCCGCUUCUGCGAUGCCGCUCCUGCGUUCGAUGGUCCUCAUAUGUGGAAAAUGCACGAAGCAGGACUGAUUGCACCUGUGGCCAAGCUCCGCAUCUGUAAGCCCGCUUCUGCGGCUCGCCUUACGUACUUGCGACCAUGGCCAUGUUGCAUCCCUCUACAUCUGUGGUCCCUCCAUCGCAGAAGUGAGUUUGCUUCUGCGGACAGUAGCCAGCCCACUCCCAUCCACUUCUGCGAUCUCGCACCUACAGCUAAUUCCACGCAUGUGGGAAAACACCAGACCUGAAGUCACCACCAGCCCCUUAUGUCCAAAUCCGAGUCUGAUUCCAAUCCGUUUCGCAUCCGGGGCCCCGGGACCCCAUCCAAUCACAGUCACACAUCCAACAAUAUAAUACGGACACGCUCGCGUGGUCGAAACACCAAAACAACAUCUAGAAUUACGAAUUUGGAUGCCAAAAUGUAUGAAUUUGACAUAAAACUCAAAAAUUUCUAAAAACACAUCCGCGCGUCCGAUUCCUAUCAAAUCAACUCUGAAUGACGCCAAAUUUUGCGUGCAAGUCUUAAAUCACCAUACAGAACUAUUCUUAGGCUCGGAAUCCCAAUGGACCUCAAUAACAUUAAAGCCUACUCUAAACCAAACUUAAAAAACUUGGAAAACCUUCAAUGCGCCAUCAUUCAAUAUUAAGCACUGAAACACUCCCGGGUCAUCCGAAACCCGAUCCGAACACAUGCUCAUUUCCAAAAUCAUCAUACAAAUCUAUUGGGACCAUCAAAUACCGGUUCUGAGGUCAUUUAUUCAAAACGUUGACUCAAGUCAAACUUAACAAUUAUAGGCUACUAUUAAGGAACUAAGUGUUCCGAUUUCAACCCAAACCCCUUCCAAACCUAAACCAACCGUCCUCGCAAGUCAUAAAAUAGUAAAAUCACAUAUGGGGAGUCUUAAUUAGGGAAGCGGGGCUCUAGAAAGUAAAAUGACUGGUCAGGUCGUUGCAUUCUCCACCUCUUACACAAACGUUCAUCCUCGAACGGGUUUAGAAUCAUACCUAGAGUGCUGAAAUGGUGCGGAUAUCUUCUCCUCAUGUCCUCCUCGGCCUCCCAAGUCGCUUCCUCGACUGGUUGACCCCUCCACUCGACCUUCAUCACAACAAUCUUCUUAGGCCUCGACUGGCGAACCUGCCUGUCAAUAAUGGCAACUAGCUCCUCUUCAUAACCCAAGCUCUUAUCUAACUGAACCGUGCUGUAAUAUAGAAUGUGCGACCUAUCGUCAUGAUACCUCCAGAGCAUAAACACAUGAAAGACCGGAUGAACUCUUGAUAAACUAGGAGACAAAGAAAACUCAUAAGCAACAUCCCCAACUCGCUGCAUCACCUCAAAUGGGCCAAUAAACUUUGGGCUCAGCUUGUCGUUCUUCCCGAACCUAAUGAUUUCCAUCAUCAACAAAACCUUUAAGACAUCCUUCUCGCCCACCAUAAAUGAUAAAUCACGUGUUUUUUGAUCCGCGUAACACUUCUGUCUGGAUUGUGCGGUGCGAAGUCGCUCCUAAAUCAAAUUUACCUUUUCCAAGGCAUCCUUCACUAAAUCAGUAUCGUAUCACCUAGCCUCGCUGGGCUCAAACCAUUCGAUGGGAGAACGACAUCGUAGACCAUAUAAAGCCUAAAAUGGAGCCAUCUUGAUGCUGGACUGAUAAUUGUUGUUGUAAACAAACUCGGCCAAGGGAAAAAAUCUAUCCCACUGACAUCCGAACUCAAUGACACAUGCUUUGCGCAUAUCUUCUAGAAUCUGAACCUUCCGCUCCGACUGCCCGACAGUCUGCAGAUGAAAAGUUGUGCUGAGCUCUACUUAUGUACCCAACUCACUAUGUAUUGCCCUCCAAAAAUGCGAAGUAAAGUGAGGGCCUCUAUCUGAUAUGAUGGAAACAAGCACACCAUGCAACCAGACAAUCUAUUGAAUGUAAAUCUCGGCCAACAUCUCUGAAGAGUAAGUAGUCAACACUAGAAUAAAAUGUGCCGACUUGGUCAACCUGUCGAUAAUGACACAAACGGCAUCAAACUUCCUCAACGUCUGCGGUAACCCAACCACGAAGUCCAUAAUGAUGUGCUCCCACUUCUAUUCUAGUAUAACCAUCUGCUGGAGUAGGCCACCUGGCCUCCGGUGCUAAUACUUGACCUGCUAGUAGUUUAGACACCUCGCCACAUACUCGACUUUGUCCUUCUUCAUAUGCCGCCACCAAUAAUGUUGCCUCAGGUCGCGAUACAUCUUCGUAGCCCCUAGAUGAAUAGAAUAUCGAGAACUGUGUGCCUCCUCUAGAAUCUUCAUCCUCAAGCCAUCAAUAUUAGGAACACAUAGGCGACCCUGGAGCUGCAGAACACCAUCCUCACCAAUAACAACCUCCUUGGCACCACCCUUUAGUACCGUCUCUCUGAGAACCAACAAGUGUGGAUCAUCGUACUUACGAGCCUUGAUCUGCUUAAGUAAUGAAGACUGAGCCACGACAUAUGCAAGAAUCCGACUGGGCUCUAAAAUAUCCAACCUUACAAGUCUGUUAGCUAAGGACUGAAUGCCCCAAACCAAAGGUCUCUCCUUUUUCAGAAUGAAUUCCAAACUACCCAUACUCUCGUCCUUUUUGCUCAAGGCAUCUGCGACCACGUUUGCCUUGCCGGGAUAAUAAAGAAUGGUAAUAUCAUAGUCCUUUAGUAACUCAAGCCACAUGCGCUAUCUCAAAUUAAGAUCCCUCUGCUUGAACAAAUGCUACAAGUUACGAUGAUCGGUGUAAACCUCACAGGACAUCCCAUAAAGAUAAUGCCUCUAGAUCUUAAAAGCAUGAACUAUUGCAUCCAACUCCAAAUCAUGCAUGGGGUAAUUCUUCUCGUGGGGCUUCAACUGACAUGAAACAUAUGCAAUAACUCGCCCCUCCUGCAUCAGUACACAACCCGAGCCAAUAAAUGAAGCGUCAUAAUACAUAGUAUAUAUCCCUGAACUGGAAGGCAACACUAAAAUCGGUGUUGUAGUCAAGGCCGACUUGAGCUUCUGAAAGCUCGCCUCGCACCAUCUGAAUGGAGCACACUUCUGGGUCAAUCUAGUCAAGGGCGCUGCAAUAGAUUAGAAACCCUCCACGAACCGAUGAUAAUACCCAGUUAAUCCCAAGAAACUCCUGAUCUCGCUCGCCGUGGUAGGACAAAGCCAACCCUGGACUGCCUCAAUCUUCCUGGGAUCCACCUUAAUGCCCUCACCCGAUACAACAUGCCCCAAGAAAACCACAGAAUUCAACCAGAACUCACACUUGGAGAACAUAGUAUAAUGUUUCUGUUACUGCAAGGUCUGAAGCACUAAUCUCAAAUGUUGCUCGUGCUCCCCCAUACUAUGCGAGUAUAUCAAUAUGUCAUCAAUGAAGACAAUGACAAAUGAAUCAAGAUACGUCCUGAACACUCGGUUUAUCAAAUUCAUGAAUGCCGCCGGGGAGUUAGUCAAAUCGAAGAACAUCACCAAAAACUCAUAGUGACCAUAUCUAGUCUUGAAGGUCAUCUUCGGAAUAUCCGAAGCACGGAUCUUCAGCGGAUGAUACCCAGAUCUCAAGUUGAUCUUAGAGAACACCCUAGCACCAUGCAACUGGUCAAAGAAAUCAUCAAUACGCGGCAACGGGUACUUAUUCUUGAUGGUGACUUUGUUCACCUAGCGUUAAACAAUGCACAUCUGCAUACUCCCAUCCUUCCUCUUCACAAACAAAAUCGGUGCACCCCAAGGCGACACACUAGGUCUAAUGAACCCCUUUUCAAGCAACUCCUAAAUCUGCUCCUUUAACUCUCUCUCAGCUCCUUAGGAGCCAUACGAUAAGGCGAAGUAGAAAUGGGCUAGGUGCCCGGCACAAAAUCAAUGCCGAAAUCAAUAUCUCGAUUUGGUGGCAUACCUGGUAGAUCGGCAGGAAAUACGUCGGAAAAUGCUUGUACCACCGGCACUGAAUCUAAAGAGGGAAUCUCUGCAGUAGUAUCACGAACAAAGGCUAAGUAGGCCAAACAACCCUUCUCGGCCAUAUGUUAAGACUUCAAGAAAGAAAUAUCCCAACUGGAAGUAACGACAAAAACCCCUCCACUCUAAUCUGGGCAACUCAGGCAUCGCCAAGGUAACAGUAUUGGCAUGGCAAUCAAGAAUGGCAUGGUACAUGGACAACCAGUCCAUGCCGAAGAUAACCUCUAAAUUGACCAUAUCGAGCAAUAAAAGAUCCGCUCGGGUCUCAUAUCCGCAGAAAGUCACCACACAGGACCGGUAGACCCAAUCCACAACAACAGAAUUACCCACUGGCAGGGACACAUAUACAGGAAUGCCCAAGGACUCACGAGACAUAUCCAAAUAAUGAGCAAAUAGAGAAGAAACAUAGGAGUAAGUAGACCUUGGAUCAAAUAAUACCGAGGCAUCCCUCCGGCAAACAGAAAUUGUACCUGUGAUCACAGCAUCAAAGGUAAUUACCUCUGGCCUGGCGGGGAUAGCAUAGAAUCUAGUUGGAGCGCCACCUAACUAGCCACCACCUCUAGGACGACCCUCGGUUGGCUGACCGGUGUGGUAGCUGGUGUGGUAAGAAUGGGCCGAUAGUCCUGCUGCUCAGCCUUGCCCAGAAGUCUGUGACAAAAUCUCUUCACGUGUCCAAGAUCCCCACACUCAAAACAACCCCUCGAAAUGGAGGACUGCAAACCUGAAGUCUGACCCUGAUGGCCUGAAUACUUACUGGAGGAAUCCUGAAUAGCUGGCGGGCGGUAAGUCUACUCUGGAAUGGCACUGAAAUAGGGUCGUGUUGGAGCACUCUGAGCAGGCGGUGGUGUUGACUUCAUGGGCCUGCUGGGCUGACCCCUCAUGAACUAACCUCUGCCCCCGGGUGGGGAGCCACUAAAUCCUCCAAACUGCUAGGGCCACUUGUCCAUCAGCUCAAACUCUCCACUUCGGUUGUGAAUACGCUCGAUCAUCCGAUCUAUAUCCAUAACCUGAAGAAAAGUAGUCCCCACCUCUGCCUCACGGUCCAUAGGUACCUGAAUCUCAGGGUUCAAACCAAAAAUGAACCUUCAUACCCUCUCUACAUCUGUGGGGAGUAUGAUAGCUGGAUGGCGAGACAAGUCAGUGAAUCUCGCCUCAUAGUCGGUGACCGAGAUGUGACCCUAUUGGAGUCGCUCAAACUGACCUUGAAGCUCCUCUCUCUCGGAAGGUGGUAUGUACUUCUCCAAGAACAUAUGUGUAAACGGAUCCCAAGUCAAGGGAGAUGAACCUGCUGGCCCGCUAAGACGAUAAGCCUGCCACCAUCUACAGGCCUUGCCCUCACACUGAAAAGUGGUGAAGUCCACCCCGUUGGACUCCAAUAUACCCAUGUUUUGGAGCCUAUCCUUGCACUGGUCAAUGAAAUCCUGGGGGUCCUCUGACCACUCACCUCCGAAGGUAGGGGUAAAAUCCUAGUCCAUUUGUCCAACCGCUUCUGCUGAUCAUCAGUCGCGACUGGUACAGCCUCUAGCAUAGUCGCUGCAAUAGGCUGGGCACCGCCCGCAUGUAGUGCACAUGGGAUCUGAUAAAUGACAGUGAUGUACCCUGGAGCCUAAACGGUAGGGGUGUGUGCUCCCCCUCCCGCCCGAUAUAUGGCAGGGUCCGCUGGAAAUAAACCAGCCUGCGUCAUAGAGUCCAUGAACCGCAGCAUACGGCCCAUGACCUCUAGGAAUCCCGGUGUAGUCAUGAAAUCUGCUGGGACUGGCACUGCUGCAGGCGCUUCAUCCUGCUCCUCAGCAACAGGAUCCUCCACUGGAUCAGCUGGUGGUACAAUAGGAGCAACCCUAGGGCGCCCUCGUCCUCAGACUGGAGCUGGAGCCCUCCAACGGCCUCUGCCUCGGCUUCUAGCAAUGGAGGGAGCAGCCCUUCGACCGCCUGGUACAUCCGCCACACGCGUUCUCACCAUUUGUGAGAGGUCAAUAGAAAGACACUUAGUAUAAUAUCAAUUGCACGAUAGGAAAUGAAGAAGAAAACUUUCCUACCACCCUAUAGCCUCUCGAAGAUAAGCACAGACAUCUCCACACCGAUCUGCAAGACUCUACUAAGCUUACUCAUGACUCGUGAGACCUUGUGAACCUAAAGCUCUGAUACCAAGCUAUCACAACCCAAAUCCAUAAUAGGUCGAGAAUGCACCUAACGCUGCCGUUAGGCAAGCCCACAAGUGAAACUACUAAUUAUUUACCCCUUUUAACAUAUUUUAAUACGGAAAUUCCUUCUUUUUAGAGAACAAUUUAACUAGCAUUCAUGCAACUGUGACAAGUCUUUUUAAAAAAACAAUGCCAAUAUAAUAAGUACAUACUCUACGAUGAUAGAAAUAAAGAGUAUAGCAGUAUAUAAAUGCUACAAAUCCCCAAAAUCUGGCAUCCCAAGUACAUGAGCAAUCUUGAGAAUAUACAAAACUACUAAAACUAUUGUCCGAAAGUAAUAGACAGGAAUAGUAAAUAAUGUGGAAGGAGACUCUGGUGCUGCGGAUCGUAGCAAGGCAAGCAGCUCACCACUAAGUCUUCGUAGAUGAUCAGCUACGCGCCCCCGUGACCACUGGUAGAACCUGUCUCAGUACCUGCACAUCAGUGCAGAAGUAUAACGUGAGUACGAAAAAUAACACGUAGCUAGUAAGUAUCUAGUCUAACCUCAAAGAAGUAGUGACGAGGGGUCAACUUUAGGGGUGUUCGUCGGUAGGUAAAAUACGGUAUUUAGACAUUUCGGUUCGGUAUUCGAUUUCUGAAAAUGCUAUAUCAAUACCGUACAUAAUUAAAUUCGGCAUGGUUCGAUUUUUGUCCUUUCAGUUUCGGUUUAAUAGGUUCGGUAACUUCGAUUUAUUCGGUUUGAAUUUUAACUAGUGCAUAGAGUCAUAGACUGUAAUAUUCUUAAUUAAAGUACUCAAAAGUACUAAACUAAAAAUGUUUGUUGACAAAAGUUUGUACAAAACCAGCAAAUAUCAACCCAGAGAGAGAAAACCGUACAUAAAGGAAUAAAUUUGAUCAAUAGAAAUGUCUUGUUACUUACUUAGAGUUAAUUGAUGAACUUGGAGAAUAAAGAAAAGUAAAAUUUUAGAUUUUUUCUAUUUAUAUUAUAAUUAAUAAUAUGUGCAUUGUGUAAUACAAUAUAUAUUUCGGUACGGUAUCGGUAUUUCGGUAUUUUAUUCUAAAAUUCCAAAUACCAUACCGAAUACAAAAAUAUCGAAUACCAAAUACCAAAAUUUUCGGUUUCGGUACGGUAAUUAGAUAUUUACCAAAUUAUGCACAACCCUAGUCGACUUGACACUUACUAGAGGUCAAUAAUAAUAAUAAAAGUGCAUAAAGUAGACAUGGUGAGCAUACAACAGGUAUCAAUGAGACAAAUAAAAGCAACUACAAUAAAUAUAACAGGAGUCCGUAACACAUGACUAACAUCCCGUAACAGGCCGUGAAGGCCCUAACUCAGUUAUAUCCAAGCAGGAACCCGUUUCGAUUAUUAAACAUGAAGUUGUCGAGGCGAGCGGCCCGAUCCCAUAAGAAUAGUGGUACUCAGUAUUGCCGAGGCGAAUGGCCCAAUCCAAUAAGAAUAGUGUUACCAACAUACUGCCGAGGCGAUUGGCCCGAUCCCAUAAGAGUGUUGAUAUCAUACUACCGAGGCGAAUGUCCCUAUCCCAUAAGAGUGGUGUUAUCAUAUUGCCGAGGCGAACGGCCCGAUCCCAUUAUAGUAGAGAAGCUUACCUCACUCACGGAAGUACUUGCGAGACGAGAAGACAUGGAUUUUUUAAUAGUUAUUAAAUGUUCCUAAAUUUUCCGAAAUAAGAAGGUUAAGUCGAUAAUUGCAACUUUAAAUCCCAAGUCUCAACUUUAUUCAACACAGUUAAUAUGCAUGAUAAACACAACAGUACAAUUAAAAGCAUUAUGUUGAAUCUACACGGACAUAUCAUGGAAUAUAGCUACGCAUGGACUCUCAUCACCUCGUGCGUACGUAGCUUCCCACACAAGUAAUACACAACAAAGAUACACCUAAGGGGAUGAGUUCCCUCUUAUAAUGUUAGGCAAGAGACUUACCUCGUUCCCAAGCUUACUUACGGUCCACUAAUCUGCUCUAAAAGCCCCAAGUCGAUGCCGAACAAUCCGAAACUAGUCAAAUAUUAUAUAAUUUAAUCAAUAUAUACUCAAAAGUUCAUAAUUUAGCUAUUAGAGUAAUUACCCAACCCAAAUUGAAAGAUUCCAAAAUUUUACCCCCGGGCCCACGGACCCGGAUUCCGGAAAUGUCUUAAUAUAAUUGUUACCCAUAGCCUCACGAACUUAAAUAUAUAAUUUUUACUUAAUUCCAUAACCAUUUCCGUGGUCAAAUCCCAUUUUUAUCAAAACUUAAGUUUUUCAACUAAACCCAUAUUUUCUAUAAUUUACAUGUUAAGAAUCUACCCAAAAUCCGCGUAUUAAACUCACAUUAAGUAGUAAUUACUUACCUCACGAUGAUGGGUGAAAACUUCCUCUCCAAGACAUCCACAAUCGACCACCUGAAAUGCAAAUGAGAGAAAAAGAACGUAAGUCUGAUUUAAAUGCACCCUCACUGCCCCCAGCGAUUUCGCAUCUGCAGAAGCAUCGCCGCUUCUGCUGGGCUGCUCCUGCGGUCGAUUGUCCGCAUCUACAGAAAAUGCACGACCCAGGACUGAUUGCACCUGCGACCAAGCUCCGCAUCUGCGAGAUUCGCCUCGCGCACCUGCGACCAUGGCUAUACUACCUCCCUCUGCAUCUACAGUCCCUCCAUCGCAUAAGCGAGCUUCUCUUCUGCAGACACUGGCCAGCCCACUCCUAGCCGCUUCUGCAAUCUUUGGCUAGCUUCUGCAAGCUCGCACCUAUGACUAAUUCCACGCAUGUGCGAAAACACCUGACUUGAGGUCACCAGCAGCCCCUUAUGUACAAAUCUAAGUCUGAUUCCAAUCCAUUUCGCAUCAGGGGCCCCCGGGACCCCAUUCAAUCACACUCACACAUCCAAAAACAUAAUACGGACUCGCUCGUGUAGUUGAAACACCAAAACAACAUUUCGAAUUACGAAUUUGGAUGCCAAAAUGCAUGAAUUUGACAUGAAACUCAAAUAUUUCUAAAAAUACUUCCGCGCAUUCGAUUCCUAUCAAAUCAACUCGGAAUGAUGCCAAAUUUUGCGUGCAAGUAUUAAAUUACCAUACAAAACUAUUCCCAGGCUUAGAAUCCCAACGGACCUCGAUAACACCAAAGCCUACUCUAAACCAAACUUAAAGAACUUAGGAAACCAUCAAUGCGCCAACUUUCAAUAUUAAGCGUCGAAACGCUCCCGGGUCAUCCGAAACCUGAUCUGAACACACACCCAAGUUUAAAAUCAUCAUACAAACCUAUUGGGACCAUCAAAUCCCAAAUCUACGUUCGUUUACUCAAAAUAUUAACUCAAGUCAAACUUAACCAUUAUAGGCUACUAUUAAGGAACUAAGUGUUCCGAUUUCAACCCGAACCCCUUUUAAACCUGAACCAACCGUCCCCACAAGUCAUAAAAUAGUAAAACCAUAUACUGGGAGUCUUAAUUAGGAGAACGGGGAUCUAAAAAGUAAAACGACUGAUCGGGUUGUUACAACAUGGGUCCUUCUUAUUACGGACACCGGCACUGGUUUUCGCUAAGGCCUCAGAAAUAGAACAAACAAGUACAUUGAAGGCACCUAUUGAUUCUGUCUAGUCAGAAUCAUCUUUGUCGUCAUAUGUCCCAUCAUUAGAAGUUUGAUGGGCUUUCAUUUGUACCUGUGGGCAUUCAUUGUUCCGAUGUGGCCCGCCGUAAUGAUGGCAUCCUGAAAAGGGCUUCCUCCCUCGAUCGUUGUUGUGAGACGCAACACUAUUGCUACUUCAGGAAGGAGUCUUAGAUUUGGUUGCGCUCAUAUCUCCUCCACUUCUGCUAGGGCCACCAUUGUUAGGCUGGCCCUCUUUGUAUCUUCCUGGGAUAGGUGGAUGAGGCAUAUCCUUCCGAGCUUCCACUUGAUAGUCCCCAAGGUAAUCUGCUGCUUGGAUCUCCUUGGGUAAAGUUUCUACGCUUUCUCUUUGUAGCUUCAUACGAGCAUAAGGUUUCAAACCUUUCAGGAAUGUGAAGAGUUUGUCUUUAUCCCCCAUAUCCUGUAUGUUUAGCAUGAGCGCAAAGAAUUCCCGCACGUAAUCUCGUACUGACUUGGUCUGGCGGAGCUCCCGUAGCUUUCUCCGCGCAUUGUACUUAAUAUUUUCGAGGAAGAACUAUAGGCAUAUGGAUGCCUUCAGUUCUGCCCAUGUCUCGAGAGUAUCUUCACCGACCCUGAUGGCUUCGUAUUUCACCCGCCACCAGAGUUUAGCAUUAACCUGAAGAUACAUGGCAGGAGUUGGUACCUUUUUAGCUUCUUCUAACUCCCCCACAACAUCGAAGUACUAUUCGAUGUCGAAGAUGAAGUUCUCCACUUCUUUGGCAUUCCAAGCUCCAUUGUAUGGUUUUAGCUCAGGAAUCUUCAGCUUUUGUGGCACAGGGGCGAGGUUCACAGCAUUCCCGAUCUGAUUUCUGCCUCCUCGAAUUAGGCCUUGUAGUGCAGCAUUGACAACAUUGAGUUAUCCUAUCAAGUUGUCUAUGGUUUGUUGCAUGGUAGUCACCUUGUCUGCCUCUUGUGCCCUAUAGGCUAAAUCCUCGGUCCGCUCCUGUUGGAGGCCCUCGAAUUUACUUAAAAUUUUGGCUGCCUCUAUGGCUUCCAUUUGCCGGUCUCCUUCAAAGUCGCGUUUGAUGUUCGCAAUGUCACCUUCGGCCUGCCACAUCCUGCGGUCCAGUUCGUCCAACAUUUGCACUAUGUUGGUUCUUAGAUCAGGCACCGUAUUCAUGAUGGGUUGUAAUACGUUAACCGUCUCUUCAAGGGCUGCAAUGUGGUCCCCAUGAUGCACCAUGGUCAGAAAUGGUGGUAAUGGCAAUGUGUUCCCUCGUUCGAUGUCGAGCAUAGGCUCUGAUACCAACUAUUACACGGCGCCUUCAUGAGAUUCCUUGGAAGGGCAACGUAAGACUAGGCAACUGAUGAUCGUACAGUUACUAUUCGCCAAUUGGGGUCCCCUCCGUAUGCUAGACGAGACUGUCAGUGUCGUACGGGAAAACCAAUGUCAAAAGCAAUUGAGAUAACUGAAAAGAGAAUGAGAAUGAAAGAAAGUUUGAUUGCAUUAAUGAAAGCUAUUACAGAAAAGCAAUACGGUGUCGAGGGGGGAGAGACACCAGUACAAAGAAUUAUUUACUUGCUUGAAAGUUUGAUUGCUUGAUCCCCCUAAUAAUGCUUAAAAAAAAAUAAACCAAAGUUACAGAACUUGACCUAACUAAGUUGUGAAGACAUAAUGGAAAUAUAAGAAGUAAAACUACUAUAUAUUUAUAAUGAAACGGACUUAGAUUCCUACAAGGUAGAAGCAGGUCCGUUGGCAGCAACCUUGUAUUUAACAUCACAGCCUGCACGUGCGGCGUUGUUGGCAUCGGCCUGCGACUGGGCUCUGGCGAGGGCUAUCGAUGAGGCGACAUAGGCACAAGCACGCUUGUUACUUGGCGCGGCCAAGACCACAGGAUCGUCCAUGGCUCUAGGCGUUAGAUAAAUACAUGAAUAGUUUCUUCUAAGUAAAAGCGAGAAAUAUCAAGAUUUGCGAUUUUUAUGUGUGUAGGUGUGUUGAUGAGCAAGUUAUUUGCCUUGAAGCUAAUAUUUUCCUGAAAACCGUGUGAGUAUCUUUUUAUCAAUCUUACGUGGGAAAGACGAGAUCCCACAACACAUAUGACCCCCACCCCCUCUCCCAAGUUAAUUCACUAGGAGUCAAAGCUCUUUAUAGCAUGUGGAACUCCAGGGAUUUUUUAGAUCUUUUUGGAGAGCUAAUUACGAAGGCGUUGUCAAUGUAUAUACAACAAAAAUAAAGUUCACUAUCGAUAUUUCUCUACGGAGGUAGUGAUAUAUACAGUUAAGUUAUUUAAUAAUGUGAGUAUAUAUAUUAAUUAACUACAGUUAAGUGAGAAUAGUUUACGUGUAAAUACAUGUCAUGUAUCUAUUGAUUUGAUGUAAGCAUACGGCACAUAUUAGUUUUUACCGAGGGACUGAGCUAGGUGGAAGAAAGGAGUUCAACUAAAUCUUUUUUGUUGAAAAAUUAUAAUUUGCAAAUAAAGUAAAAGCUAAAUACUUUCGUUCUAAAGAGAUUAUUGAAUCCUUUUAAUAUAAAGAAGAAUUUUAGUGAAAGGACAAGGGGUUCAAAAAUUAAUUUUGGUAAUGGUUCAAUUCUAGAUGUGACAUUCUAGUAUAUUUAUGUGAAUCCCUUUAUAUAAAUUCAUGGCUCUUGUCACUGAGCGAGAGAGAUCGAAGCCGCCGCUGCCUAAUUCUCGUUAGUUAAGUAAAACAUUCCUCGUUAAAUUUAAUUCAUCAACACUUCCUAGAAAGUGAAUUAUUUAUAGAUCAAAAGCUGAUUAUAAGAUCGUCGUCUUUACUUGCUGCCCUGUUGGUCUAUCGAAUAAAAAAAUCUAUGGAUCAUAAAAUUUUGCAAUAAACGAAGGAUCUUGAGAGUGUUUUUAAAAAUUGAAGUUUCGACUGAAAGAGAAUGAAAAUUCCUGUCCAAAUUGUCCUAAUUAAUUCUCUCCCUCACCUAAUAGAAAGCCAAGUUGCUAUCGAAGUAUUGGAAUUGAAUGAAAAGGACUAGUAUUAUUUUGCAACGAGUGGAUAUCGAAGUACUUUUUUCUUAACUGCUAUAGGAGAGCCAAAUAAAUUACCAAAUUGGUCUCUAAUGUUUGCAAGUUUUAAUAUAUUAAUCAUCAACAUCAAUUCGUUUUGACCAAAUAUAUAGUGUCUGAUAUAUUGCGAGUACAUUUUAUAAGAGCCAGUAUGCACUAUAAAUAGCAUUUUUUUUCCUAUAUUCAAUUGAACGGUUAUUAAUGGUUUUGAAUUUUGUGUUAAGAAUAAAUUUAUUUGCAUGCAAAUUCAUCAGAAAUAUACGAUCAAGAGAAAAAAUGAAUGAGACAACGGAAUACACUGUCAAAGAGGAAAGGUACAAACGAAAAUGAAGAUUCGUGUUACAAUAUCCCUAAAUGAUAAUUAACUAAGAAAAUCACCCUAACUGAAAUACAGAAAUACCACACCAGAUAUAGUUUAAUAAGUUUAACUUAUAUACGUGUAAAAAAUCUAGUAAAUAGUAUAUAAAUUCUUUACAUUAUUGAUGUAUAUAAGUUAAACUUCGAAUACAUUUGAAUCAAAUUAAAGACUUUUAUUGAAUAUGAUCGCACAAACCAGAAAUUAAAGCAGGUUAAUUAUAUUAAACGGACUACUCAGAAUUGGGAUCAGAAGGGUUAAUCUUUUUCUUGUCGUUCUUGAAAGAGGACACCACAACUUUCACUACCUUUUCAGCAGCCAUGGCUUUCACUGAUUUCUUGUCUUUCUUUGGAAACACACUUCCUUUCUUUGAUGUGCCUUCACCAUAUCCUUUUCCAUUUCCAUUUUUCUCCAUCUCUCUCUUUCUAUGUCUUAGAGUUUAUGUAUGUAUAUGAGAAGUGUAAUCUAUUGUUUUAAUUAGUUG
Molecule: long non-coding RNA, 22066 nt
Filed under: Nicotiana tabacum (common tobacco)
Lineage: Eukaryota; Viridiplantae; Streptophyta; Magnoliopsida; Solanales; Solanaceae
Description: long non-coding RNA (NTAB_LNC013146)
Source: RNAcentral